AUGGUCAAGUGCGAGCAGAGGAAGAUGAGAGGGGGAGGGAGAUGCUACCUGCCGUGGUGGGUCGUCGUGGACGAGCUUGAGCUCGGCAGGACCUCUUGGUCACCCUAUGAGCAGAGGAGCAAACCCCAGAUCAGUGUUCAUCCACGGCUGCCAGAUCGGGUCGAAACGAAGAGAGAAGGGGAAGGGAAGGGAUACCUUGAGGAUCGACUCGAAUCAGCGGCGGCGCCUUCCUGGUAG
RNAcentral lists this ribosomal RNA (237 nucleotides) under Triticum aestivum (bread wheat). RNAcentral's name for it is "partial small subunit ribosomal RNA". Lineage: Eukaryota; Viridiplantae; Streptophyta; Magnoliopsida; Poales; Poaceae. The record is from RNAcentral.